AUAAAAAGCACUAUUGAGUGCAGCGUUGAUGAAGAGAGAAAACCCACCCUCAACAAUUGGGUUUCAUCAGGGCUGCAUUCAAUAAUGCCUUCG
This 93-nucleotide microRNA precursor is filed under the name Amborella trichopoda. Its description in RNAcentral is "MIR397 microRNA precursor family". It matches the Rfam family "MIR397 microRNA precursor family". The record is from Rfam by way of RNAcentral. Lineage: Eukaryota; Viridiplantae; Streptophyta; Magnoliopsida; Amborellales; Amborellaceae.